Molecule: ribosomal RNA, 378 nt
Filed under: uncultured eukaryote
Lineage: Eukaryota
Description: partial 18S ribosomal RNA
Rfam family: Eukaryotic small subunit ribosomal RNA
Source: RNAcentral
CAAUAGCGUAUAUUUAAGUUGUUGCAGUUAAAAAGCUCGUAGUUGGAUUUCGGGUGGGACGCAGCGGUCUCGCAUUGCGUUUGUACUGCUGCAGCCCUCCUUCUUGCCGGGGGCGGCCUCUCGGACUUCACUGUCUGGGGGUCAGAAUCGGCGAUGUUACUUUGAGUAAAUUAGAGUGUUCAAAGCAAGCUUACGCUCUGAAUAUAAUAGCAUGGGAUAACACGACAGGACUCUGGCCUAUCGUGUUGGUCUAUAGGACCAGAGUAAUGAUUAAGAGGGACAGUCGGGGGCAUUCGUAUUCCGUUGUCAGAGGUGAAAUUCUUGGAUUUACGGAAGACGAACAUCUGCGAAAGCAUUUGCCAAGGAUGUUUUCGUUGA